Molecule: ribosomal RNA, 440 nt
Filed under: uncultured bacterium
Lineage: Bacteria
Description: bacterial SSU rRNA
Rfam family: Bacterial small subunit ribosomal RNA
Source: RNAcentral
CCUACGGGGGGCUGCAGUCGAGAAUAUUCGACAAUGGGCGAAAGCCUGAUCGAGCGACGCCGCGUGGUGGAUGAAGUCCUUCGGGACGUAAACAUCUUUUAUGAGGGAGGAAAUUAUUGACGCUACCUCAUGAAUAAGGGGCUCCUAACUCUGUGCCAGCAGGAGCGGUAAUACAGAGGCCCCAAGCAUUACCCGGAAUCACUGGGCGUAAAGGGUGUGUCGGUGGUUGUAUUAGUCGUUUGUUAAAUCCCGGGGCUUAACUCCGGAAUCGCGGGCGAAACGGUACAACUUGAGGGCGUAAGAGGUGAAUGGAACUCAUGGUGUAGGGGUGAAAUCCGUUGAUAUCAUGGGGAACACCGAAAGCGAAAGCAAUUCACUGGUACGUUCCUGACACUCAAACACGAAAGCGUGGGUAGCGAACGGGAUUAGAUACCCUGGUA